GUGGGGAAUAUUGGACAAUGGGCGAAAGCCUGAUCCAGCCAUGCCGCGUGUGUGAAGAAGGUCUUCGGAUUGUAAAGCACUUUAAGUUGGGAGGAAGGGCAGUAAGUUAAUACCUUGCUGUUUUGACGUUACCGACAGAAUAAGCACCGGCUAACUUCGUGCCAGCAGCCGCGGUAAUACGAAGGGUGCAAGCGUUAAUCGGAAUUACUGGGCGUAAAGCGCGCGUAGGUGGUUUUGUAAGUUGGAGGUGAAAUCCCCGGGCUCAACCUGGGAACGGCCUCCAAAACUGCAUUGCUAGAGUACGGGAGAGGGUAGUGGAAUUUCCUGUGUAGCGGUGAAAUGCGUAGAUAUAGGAAGGAACACCAGUGGCGAAGGCGACUACCUGGACUGAUACUGACACUGAGGUGCGAAAGCGUGGGGAGCAAACAGGAUUAGAAACCCCUGUAGUCC
This 450-nucleotide ribosomal RNA is filed under the name uncultured bacterium. RNAcentral's name for it is "partial 16S ribosomal RNA". It matches the Rfam family "Bacterial small subunit ribosomal RNA", at positions 354 to 796 of the family's 1533-position model. The record is from RNAcentral.